Molecule: ribosomal RNA, 468 nt
Filed under: uncultured bacterium
Lineage: Bacteria
Description: partial 16S ribosomal RNA
Rfam family: Bacterial small subunit ribosomal RNA
Source: RNAcentral
GACGAACGCUGGCGGCGUGCUUAACACAUGCAAGUCGAACGGAAAGGCCCUGCUUUUGUGGGGUGCUCGAGUGGCGAACGGGUGAGUAACACGUGAGUAACCUGCCCUUGACUUUGGGAUAACUUCAGGAAACUGGGGCUAAUACCGGAUAGGAGCUCCUGCUGCAUGGUGGGGGUUGGAAAGUUUCGGCGGUCGGGGAUGGACUCGCGGCUUAUCAGCUUGUUGGUGGGGUAGUGGCUUACCAAGGCUUUGACGGGUAGCCGGCCUGAGAGGGUGACCGGCCACAUUGGGACUGAGAUACGGCCCAGACUCGUACGGGAGGCAGCAGUGGGGAAUAUUGCACAAUGGGCGGAAGCCGGAUGCAGCAACGCCGCGUGCGGGAUGACGGCCUUCGGGUUGUAAACCGCUUUCGCCUGUGACGAAGCGUGAGUGACGGUAAUGGGUAAAGAAGCACCGGCUAACUACGUG